CAGUUCUGCCUGCUAAAUUUGGGAGGUGACAGGCAUUGGGACCGAUUUCGAUUUUUUUAUUUGCAACAAAACUACGCGCUUGCAUGCCAUCGGUUUUCCCGACGCCCUAUUGCUCAAUACUACUCGGUUAACGUUUAUAAUGUCAAGAAUUAGGGGUGAAAUUCCGCUUUGUUCACAAUGCUGAGAUGGUAUUACCAGUAGUGUAAGCAGCCUUACGGCGCGUUCGGGCCUGGGGUGGACAUCGCACAGACGGUCAGGAAGAAGCCGGGGGCUCAAUGGAGAACAGGUGUCUCAUCCCGUUCAGUAUCUCCUGGAAAUCUGUAUCCGUCUGCGAAAUGCGCAAUCCGUUUGCAUGAUUGUUCUCGUCCUCCGCAUACACAAUUAUUUGUAUGUACCACAUAAGGACCAAAGAUGCACACAGGCUUUGUGUCACUUCUUUCGGGCUCCCCUGUCUUGUGUAAACAUAAUUUUAGCUUUCAUUCAAGUGGUGGCGGUAUUUUUUUACGUUCCUCUAAUCCCUAGCAAUCGCAUCAAAUGCACCGAGAAACCGAUAUAAACACACACAAACAACAGGUUCCUAUUUUUUAAUCCCGAUUCUAAGAAGCACAGGCGGAAAAAUAAAGGCAGGAGCUGCCUGUAUCGCCAAGUAUCGCGGAGGGUUUUGUGGAACGUGUGCGCAUUCCGGGGGUACAGAUUUCCAGGUGAUACUGAAUUGGAUACGACAGGAGGCCCGGGCUUCUGCCGGUGUAGCUCCGACCGACCCAGCACAGCCAGACGCUGAACUCGAUACUGAAGACCCUUGUAGACGUCUGCCAUAGUAAAUGAAUCUUUAAGCGCAGUAAAAAAAAACGUGUUGUACUGUUAUCAUACAGUAGCAUGAUUUCACAGCGUUCUAGCGAAACCGCUAGAACAGCUUGCGAGGAAUCUAUGAAUAACGAGAGCGACGUCACGGAAAAGCCAGUCUGGACGCCAUACAAAUUCGGGGUGCUAACCUUUCACAGAGAAAAGGGAAAACAGGCCACUUUCUGCCAACGGAUAUAUAUAUAUAACUGCAUAGUAAAAGGGGGGGAAAAUCAAUAAAUAAAAUGUUAAAACACAGCGAAUUACAUAAAUGGAAUUGCUGUGCGUUCCCAUGAAGGAGUAAUCAGGUUAUGAGGUCAAAGGUCGUUGCUCAGACGUUCGGCUCCAGCACUGAACGCCUCCGGCACACUGUCAGACCGGUUCGUACAGCAUAGAAUGAAAUGCCCGGGUUCCUAAUCUCAUUUAAAACAGUUCCUGAGAGGUUUGUGAACGUGGCUCAUUUCCUGUGCCUGUCAUGCUGGCUAUGUGCUCCUCCUCUCCUCAGUAGUUCUCCGCCCUGGUGGUUCUGUCUGCAGCUGGACCCGGAGCGACAGGAGGAGAAGCAGAGAGCCUCCUGUAAGGACAGCCUGGGGCUGGUGGACCAGUAGGACCAGUAGCUCUUCGCUCCCCUCUACCUGACCUGCUGGGACAUGGGGCCCCUCUGACCUGUCAAGUGCUCUGGGGUGAAAAGUGUUAGUGUUGUUAUUAUUAAACUCCCUAGAGGCUGUUUCUUUCUGAGGCAGUUCAAGACAUUAGGAGUGUCACAGGAAGCAAUGACCCCUUCCUACACAUCUGUCAUGGAAGGCAGGCUGUUCCUUCAGCGGAGUGCCGCUCACCUGACUGCUCGCGAUGGAGGCUCAGAGCCAGCAGUCCAUCAGGCGUCCAUCAUGUGUCACUAGCUCAGGCAGAGGGGGAGAGAGGCAGGCUGCUCUUUCUGUAACAGGCCUGACAGCGAUUGUUGGGAUUUGUGUCGUCCAUCACCUGCAGUCAGUACGGGGAUCAAAGACCUGGAGCUGAGAGGCACCUGGAUGGGAGACGUCGGCUUGUUUCUGCAGCAGUGUGGAGGAGCAGGCGCAGAAGAGGGCUGAGGGGGCUGCUUUUGGCAGCUGUAAUCCCAGGGCCGACAGCGCAGACUGGGGGAACAGCCACAGGACAGUGAUCGUGACAGCAGCCCGUCUCACACUUCCUGGGCAGGGUGCUCGGUGAGGCCGCUGCAAGUCACGGGCGGGCACUGGACUCUACAGUGGCGUGCGUGUGGACUGGCGGGACUGGGCUGAGCAGCGUGCACAAACCUGGGACUAGGCUGGAACAAAACGAAGAACUCGAGUCGUUUCCCAGUGGGGGCGCAGCUCAGUAAUUAAA
Lepisosteus oculatus (spotted gar) is the source of this 2202-nucleotide non-coding RNA. The record is from RefSeq and is a predicted model, not a curated record. Lineage: Eukaryota; Metazoa; Chordata; Actinopteri; Semionotiformes; Lepisosteidae.